Molecule: ribosomal RNA, 120 nt
Filed under: Bison bison bison
Lineage: Eukaryota; Metazoa; Chordata; Mammalia; Artiodactyla; Bovidae
Source: RNAcentral
GUCUCAGGCCGUAUCAGCGUGAAGGCGCCCGAUCUCGUCUGAUCUCGGAAGCUAAGCAGGGUCGGGCCUGGUUAGGAUCUUGGAUGGGAGACCACCUGGGAAUCCCGGGUGCUCGAGGCU